This 656-nucleotide long non-coding RNA is filed under the name Homo sapiens (human). RNAcentral describes it as "non-protein coding lnc-EDIL3-4:1". The record is from RNAcentral. Lineage: Eukaryota; Metazoa; Chordata; Mammalia; Primates; Hominidae.
AGCUAAAGAGCCUGCUCCUCAGAAAAUCAUGAGCCAUUUUCACCACCACAGUGUCAGUACAGAGGAGAAAGUGCCUCUCCACACCACCCUUGACUUCCACAGCUGUCUUGUGGAUGGUCUCUUGGAUGCCUCUUCUGCCUUCAAAGCCCUAUUUUACCAGGCUUUCCCAUUCACAGUGAAUGUCUUCCACUUUGCUAAUGUCUCCAGAAACACAAUAUAUAUCACCUGUUAUCUGAAGGUCAAUCUGGUUGACCAAGUCCCAGAUCAACUAAACAAAGCCUGUUCCUUCAGCAAGUUUUCCAAUAGCUGGUCCCCAGUAGAAGACACUGCUGACAUCUGUGAAUAUCACCUUAAUAGGGUGACUGUGGCAUUCUAGGUCAUUCCAGAAGGCACCCCACUGUGGCACAAAUCUGCUUCUAGCAACUGCAGGCGCAAGACCAAAAGAAGCAUACCUCACUAUGGGGCCACUGAUUUUCCUGGAAAAGGCUGGUGACCACAAUACGGAAAGGUGGACCUCUUCUGCCCAUACCCUUGUGGUGUUGGGCUGAGGCCUGGCCAUGGAGGUGUUCCCGAUUCUGGCUGCAGUUGUUGUGGGUCUUGCCUGAAGGCAUCAACUGGCUUCCCACCCCUUGAUAUGCCCUGUGUCCGUUUCCCAA